This 65-nucleotide transfer RNA is filed under the name Boreonectes macedonicus. RNAcentral describes it as "tRNA-His". The record is from RNAcentral. Lineage: Eukaryota; Metazoa; Arthropoda; Insecta; Coleoptera; Dytiscidae.
AUUUAAGUAAUUUAAAAAAAAUUUUGAUUUGUGGUAUCAAGAAUGUAAUUCAUUUACCUUAAAUU